This 239-nucleotide ribosomal RNA is filed under the name uncultured bacterium. RNAcentral describes it as "partial 16S ribosomal RNA". It matches the Rfam family "Bacterial small subunit ribosomal RNA", at positions 100 to 334 of the family's 1533-position model. The record is from RNAcentral.
CCGGCACGGGUGAGUAACACGUAUCCAACCUGCCGUCUACUCUUGGCCAGCCUUCUGAAAGGAAGAUUAAUCCAGGAUGGCAUCAUGAGUUCACAUGUCCGCAUGAUUAAAGGUAUUUUCCGGUAGACGAUGGGGAUGCGUUCCAUUAGAUAGUGGGCGGGGUAACGGCCCACCUAGUCAACGAUGGAUAGGGGUUCUGAGAGGAAGGUCCCCCACAUUGGAACUGAGACACGGUCCAA